This 253-nucleotide ribosomal RNA is filed under the name uncultured bacterium. RNAcentral describes it as "partial 16S ribosomal RNA". It matches the Rfam family "Bacterial small subunit ribosomal RNA", at positions 524 to 776 of the family's 1533-position model. The record is from RNAcentral.
UACGUAGGGACCAAGCGUUGUUCGGAUUUACUGGGCGUAAAGGGCGCGUAGGCGGCGUGACAAGUCAAUUGUGAAAUCUCCGGGCUUAACUCGGAACGGUCAAUUGAUACUGUUGUGCUAGAGUACAGAAGGGGCAAUCGGAAUUCUUGGUGUAGCGGUGAAAUGCGUAGAUAUCGAGAGGAACACCAAUGGCGAAGGCAGCUAUCUGGAUCGUAACUGACACUCAUGAGCGAAAGUGCGGGGAGCAAACAGG